GGGGGUAUAGCUCAGCUGGGAGAGCAGCAGACUGAAGUCACUACGACAUUCUGAAGGUCCCGCGUUCGAUCCGCGGUACCCCCA
Marasmius tenuissimus is the source of this 84-nucleotide non-coding RNA. NCBI's taxonomy places the organism in Eukaryota, Fungi, Basidiomycota, Agaricomycetes, Agaricales, Marasmiaceae. The record is from the annotation of a GenBank genome assembly.